Pezoporus occidentalis (night parrot) is the source of this 311-nucleotide long non-coding RNA. RefSeq lists it as uncharacterized. Lineage: Eukaryota; Metazoa; Chordata; Aves; Psittaciformes; Psittacidae. The transcript is spliced from 2 exons. The record is from RefSeq and is a predicted model, not a curated record.
CCUGUUCUAUAUAAAGACCUACAGGAUAAUGAGUGGAAAGGACCAGUGCCAUUGCUGACAUGGGGUCAAGGAUAUGGCUGUAUACAGCUAUUGACAAGACCAUACUGUCUGCCAGCAAAAUGUAUAAAGCCCCAGAACUCAACAACAUAAAGAAAUGAUAAUGACAGAAAUCUUUAUAAUAUCUGUUCUGUUAUGUCUCAAGUGACUUCAAAUCAGACUAAUCUUACUGAAAUAGUGCUGCCUGGAGUAGUGGGUGGUUAUGUUAAUUACACAGGUCAAGCAGUAACAGAAUGGACACAUCAAAUUGUAAA